AGAAUCAACGCUGGCGGCGUGCCUAACACAUGCAAGUCGAACGAGAAAGGGACUUCGGUCCUGAGUAUAGUGGCGCACGGGUGAGUAACACGUGAAUAAUCUACCUUCGAGUGGGGAAUAACCAAAAGAAAUUUUGGCUAAUACCGCAUAAUACCUACGGGUCAAAGCAGCAAUGCGCGUUGAAGAGGAGUUCGCGGCAGGAUUAGUUAGUUGGCGGGGUAAUGGCCCACCAAGACGAUGAUCUGGUA
Molecule: ribosomal RNA, 248 nt
Filed under: uncultured bacterium
Lineage: Bacteria
Description: partial small subunit ribosomal RNA
Rfam family: Bacterial small subunit ribosomal RNA
Source: RNAcentral